RNAcentral lists this transfer RNA (84 nucleotides) under Micromonospora profundi. RNAcentral describes it as "tRNA-Ser". Lineage: Bacteria; Bacillati; Actinomycetota; Actinomycetes; Micromonosporales; Micromonosporaceae. The record is from RNAcentral.
UUCUCGCUGGUCAGCGACGUGCUAGAGGUGGUCUUGAAAACCGGUAAGGCAGCGAUGUCUUCGUGGGUUCGAAUCCCACACCCU